Molecule: long non-coding RNA, 2882 nt
Organism: Diorhabda sublineata
Lineage: Eukaryota; Metazoa; Arthropoda; Insecta; Coleoptera; Chrysomelidae
Exons: 3
Source: RefSeq, a predicted model, not a curated record
GAUGUGAUUCAUAGUUUUAGAAAACAAAAUACCUUAUUUAAGUUGACAUGAAUUAUAUGUAAUAAACAAUAAGAUAUGCAAUACGGUUAUGUAUAGAUGCAAGAAAAACAUAAUAAUGUCUCUUCACAUGCGUGUUUGUUCACGACGCAUUCUUCACUCCUGCUAUCUUACGCGUGUCUACAGAGAUUCUUCGAUAGUAUUAAAAUCAUAGAUCGCAUACUAUUAGGCAACCCAACCAUUUGUUGUAUAACUUUGUUAAUACAACAUGUUUUGUUACAUAGUCUGGACUCGACUUUACAAUAUUAAAUAUAUUAAAUGAAUUAAUCUAAUUCAUUAACUGAACUAAUUGAUUUCAUUGAAAUGGUAUUUCGAAACCAUUUCUAUUUAUAUUAAAAUAAUUGCUGAAGCAGUAAUUAGAAAAUAUGAUUUUUCUACGUUUCAAUUCUAAGGAUGUCUGGAUUUUUCUAGAUGUAACUCUCCCAAUGUAUUUGAAUAAUUAAUAAUCAUCAAUACAAUACAAUAAGUUUAAUAUCAAAAUCGCAAACUAAAUUAACCAAAUAAAAUGAUUUUUUUAUCUAAACGUUUCCGUUGCCUGAUUUUUUACUGGGGGAAUGAGAAUAUAUAAACUAGGUACUGAAAUUCUCUACUUUUCUUGUGGAAGUUUAUAUUGAUACUUUCAUACUUUUUAUAGUCCUUCAAGUAAGAAUAAACACUAUAGCAACGUUGUCUGUUAUUAGUAUUGCAAAAAACUUUGUUUUGUGUUUGUUCUGGUUGAGACUGUGUAUUACCAGUAAGAAAGAAGUAUUUUUUGUUGAGCAUAUUUAACGAUAAACAGCGGAAGCUAAGUUUAAAGCUAGUGAACAAUUUCAUUGACACUAUCAACGCAAUUAUAUUGCGAAAUUUCAUUGUUCUGGCUGUUUAUUGUGUUAACGAAACGGUAUAUUAAGUGUGGUAAUAAUGAGAAAUAUCUAAUUAAUUUGUUAUUUUGUUUUGUGAGAAAAAUAAUGAAAUUAACAUCUAAAUUAUAGGAAACAAUUUCAUUGUUUCAACUUUCUUAGACCUUUUUAUAUGUUUUUCGUGAGUAAUAUAGUAUAUAGUAUAGUUUGAAUGCAAAAUAUAGUUCUCCCACAUAACUAGUAGUUACAAGGGUUGUAUCUUGUAUCCCCCGCGUAACAAAAUUCAAAGAACCCACAAAAAAUUAUCAGUUGGGAAACCUAGAAAUACUUCUCUUUCCAGAACAACUAGAGGAGUCAUUAGUUGAUAGAAGCUUGAGUCUUUAGGCCUACAUCAUAAAUGAGAACAUAGCGACAACAACGAAGAGUAUUUUCCUAUUUUAAAUGCAACUCUAAUUAAAGAAGGUUUGGACUUUGUGCAGAUUUGGUUAUUUUACUGAAGAAUAUGAUCAUGAUCAAAAUAGAGUUGUGAAAUUCCCACGUGAAUUGAAUUUGUUAAUAUUAUCUCACAAAAAACUUUAUAAUGGAUUAUCACGGUUGAAGAUUAGUUCCAAUAAUUAUCUACUAUCACACAAGUACCAGCAAAUCAAAGAAAUUAAGCCAAGCACUUCUUUCCAUUCAGAACCAAUUGGAUAUCCAACAAUAAUUAGAUAAUUUUAUUAAAAGACUCGCCACAAUAAAAAAGAAAGAAACUAUAUAUGCAGAUGAAUUGUAUCCAAAGAAUCUCAAACAUCAUACUUAAUAAUUGAUUUAGUUUUCAAAGCUGCUGAAUUAUCAAACAUGGUAAAUACAAAUGAACAAAUCAUUAAAAGGAUGGACAAAAUAAUUCUAGUGAUAACAAUAAUAUUAAUUAUUUAAAUAAAUUUUUUCAUAUGAGCUUUACUUUUUUAAAACAUUCAUUGCCGACACCGGCACCAAAUUGAAAAAAUCACUUUGAUACGCCGAAAACUCACUGAAACAUUAUCAUUUAUAACAGAGCGUUCGAUUUGAAGCAAGUUUCUCCGUUUUUGGCGCAUCGCGCCGCCGCCGUCGCUGGCCUCUCGGAAACGCGGACGUAGUGCGCCUAUUCAAUUUGCUCGUAUGAAGCUAAUAAGUAUCGAUUUAAAUACUGCUUUAUAAUAACCUAUCGUUAUAAAAUGCAAUUUUCUCAAUCACAUUAUUCCUUCACUUUUAUAAGACAACUUUGUUAUUUCAAUGAAAAAGAAUAUCACGUUCUUGAUUUUGGAAAAAAAAUAUAUGUCUAGCCGUCUGCCUAUUGUUCUCUGUCUGCACAUGCGCAUCCUUUUCGAAACGUGCUGCAAAUACGGUAUGGGAAUGUACGUUUAACUUCGACCCACGCAGACGUGUACGGUUACCACAGUGUUUGUAAAAAAAACGUUACCACUUUGAAAAAAUCUCAGAUAGAAAACAGUGAAAAGUUGAAGCCGUUUCGCCGAAGAAGCCAAGCCAGUUCCCGCUCGACUUCUCGCUCAAACUCUCCCUUGGUGGAUGAUAGUCAACAUAAAGCAGUACCCAGUAAUUCUACUGCCUCAACAACUAACAGGGAUCAACACGCACUUGAACAUGAUGUUGAAGUAGACGACGAUGAAUCAGAAAAAAGACCAAAUCACGGAAAGUGAAAAUGAUAACACAGUACCACAACAUAACGAUUUGAUUGAUGAAGAUAUAAAUAAUGUAUUCGAUGCAGAAAGUGAUACGGAUGAUAGCGAAGAUGAUGUGGAGAGCGAGAUCGAUGAAGAUGAUAAUGAGUGAACUCAUAUAAUAUAUUUUCUCGAUUGAAUAAAUUAAAUGUAGUUGAAGUUGAAAGAGACAAAGCGAGAAAAACUACUCAUUCACUUUUUCUGUGUAAUUUGACCAUUAUUACAAUAAAGCAUUUAAUGAUUUGCGUUUAAACGUUGAUACUUUAUUAAUAAAUCUUAUUUAAGUACA